RNAcentral lists this long non-coding RNA (206 nucleotides) under Elaeis guineensis (African oil palm). RNAcentral's name for it is "long non-coding RNA (EGUI_LNC052681)". Lineage: Eukaryota; Viridiplantae; Streptophyta; Magnoliopsida; Arecales; Arecaceae. The record is from RNAcentral.
CUACCAGUUCGUAAAAAUACUGGGAGAAACUUUAGACUAAAGUCUAAGUCUUAGUAUUUAUAAUUUAUGUACUAAUAGAGGUCUGAUUUUCCUUUAUGCAGCUAUGGCCACUACCCUAUCCCUCCGAUCAUUAUUAGAUAAUGACAAGCUCAUGGGACCUAAUUUCGAUAGCUGGUAUCGAUAAUUAAAAAUCAUCCUUGAGCAUG